This 254-nucleotide ribosomal RNA is filed under the name uncultured bacterium. RNAcentral's name for it is "partial 16S ribosomal RNA". It matches the Rfam family "Bacterial small subunit ribosomal RNA", at positions 524 to 776 of the family's 1533-position model. The record is from RNAcentral.
UACGUAGGGUGCGAGCGUUAAUCGGAAUUACUGGGCGUAAAGCGUGCGCAGGCGGUUUUGUAAGCCAGAUGUGAAAUCCCCCGGGCUUAACCUGGGAAUGGCAUUUGGGACUGCAAGGCUGGAGUGCGGCAGAGGAGACUGGAAUUCCUGGUGUAGCAGUGAAAUGCGUAGAUAUCAGGAGGAACACCGAUGGCGAAGGCAGGUCUCUGGGCUGAUACUGACGCUGAGGAGCGAAAGCCAGGGGAGCAAACGGG